This 361-nucleotide ribosomal RNA is filed under the name uncultured bacterium. RNAcentral describes it as "bacterial SSU rRNA". It matches the Rfam family "Bacterial small subunit ribosomal RNA", at positions 29 to 418 of the family's 1533-position model. The record is from RNAcentral.
AACGAACGCUGGCGGCAGGCCUAACACAUGCAAGUCGAACGCUCCGCAAGGGGGAGUGGCGCACGGGUGAGUAACACGUGGGAACCUACCUUCUGGUACGGAACAACCAAGGGAAACUUUGGCUAAGACCGUAUACGACCUCCGGGUGAAAGAUUGAUCGCCGGAAGAGGGGCCCGCGUCCGAUUAGGUAGUUGGUGAGGUAACGGCUCACCAAGCCUUCGAUCGGUAGCUGGUCUGAGAGGAUGACCAGCCACACUGGGACUGAGACACGGCCCAGACUCCUACGGGAGGCAGCAGUGGGGAAUAUUGGACAAUGGGCGCAAGCCUGAUCCAGCCAUGCCGCGUGCGGGAAGAAGGCCUU